UACGUAGGGGGCAAGCGUUGUCCGGAUUUAUUGGGCGUAAAGAGCGUGUAGGCGGCCAUACAGGUCAGCUGUGAAAACUCGAGGCUCAACCUCGAGACGUCGGUUGAAACCGUAUGGCUAGAGUCCGGAAGAGGAGAGUGGAAUUCCCGGUGUAGCGGUGAAAUGCGCAGAUAUCAGGAGGAACACCGAUGGCGAAGGCAGGUCUCUGGGCAUUAACUGACGCUGAGGAGCGAAAGCAUGGGGAGCGAACAGG
RNAcentral lists this ribosomal RNA (253 nucleotides) under uncultured bacterium. RNAcentral's name for it is "partial 16S ribosomal RNA". It matches the Rfam family "Bacterial small subunit ribosomal RNA", at positions 524 to 776 of the family's 1533-position model. The record is from RNAcentral.